Molecule: ribosomal RNA, 806 nt
Filed under: Phytoecia comes
Lineage: Eukaryota; Metazoa; Arthropoda; Insecta; Coleoptera; Cerambycidae
Description: partial 12S ribosomal RNA
Source: RNAcentral
AAUAAUAUAACUUAAUUAGUAAUUAGUGUCAAUAUGUAAGAAUGUAAUAAAUUUUUAGGGGAAAUUUAUUAGGUGAAAUUUUAAAUUUUUGAAUAAAUUUAUAAUGGCUUAUUAUUUGAGAAAUUUUUUUAAUAAACUAGGAUUAGAUACCCUAUUAUUAGAAAUGUAAAAUUGUACUAGAUUAGUAGUAGUUAUUUUCUUGAAAAUUAAAGAAUUUGGCGGUUUUUUAGUCUAUUCAGAGGAACCUGUUCUAUAAAUGAUAGUCCACGAGUUAAAAGUCUUUUUUUAUAAGUUUAUAUAUCGUCGUAGUUUGAAUAUUUUAGAAGGAUUUUAAUGUUCAAUAAGUAUGUUUUAAUUUAAAUCAGAUCAAGGUAUAGUUGAUAAAAAAGAAGUAAUGGGUUACAUUAAAAAAAAUUGAGGAUUAUUUUUUGAAAGAAAUUAUGAAUUUGGAUUUGAAAGUAAUGUUAUUUAAAUAAAUAAAAUGAUUAAAGCUCUAAAAUAUGCACAUAUCGCCCGUCGCUUUCAUUUUAAAAUGAAAUAAGUCGUAACAGAGUAGAUUUACUGGAAAGUGUAUCUGGAAAGAUCAAGUAAGAGCUUGAUUAAAGCGUUUUACUUACACUAAAAAGUUAAUUGUUAAAUUCAAUUUUACUUGAAAAAGGGGAUUAUUUAAGUAAAAUAAAAUUAAUUAGUUAAUAGAAAAAAGUAAUUUUUUUUUAGUAGUGGGAAAAGAAAAAUAUAUUAGUAAUUAUAGUAUAUAAGUAUUGUGAAAGAAUUUUUUUAUUUUUAAAUAAGAAAAAUUUUAUUUU